CCUACGGGUGGCAGCAGUGAGGAAUAUUGGUCAAUGGCCGAGAGUCUGAACCAGCCAAGUCGCGUGAGGGAAGACGGCCCUACGUGUUUUAAACCUCUUUUGUCGGGGAGCAAAGCGAGUUACGUGUGACUCAUUGAGAGUACCCGAAGAAAAAGCAUCGGCUAACACCGUGCCAGCAGCCGCGGUAAUACGGAGGAUGCGAGCGUUAUCCGGACUGACUGGGGGUAAAGGGUGCGUAGGUUGUUUUGCAAGUUAGUAGCGUAACUCCACGGCUCAACCUUGGAACUACUACUAAAACUGUUGGACUUGAGUGCAGGAGGGGCAACCGGAAUUCCUAGUGUAGCGGUGGAAUGCGGAGAUAUUAGGAGGAACACCAGUGGCGAAGGCGGGUUGCUAGACUGUAACUGACACUGAGGCACGAAAGCGUGGGGAGCAAACAGGAUUAGAUACCCCUGUAGUC
This 460-nucleotide ribosomal RNA is filed under the name uncultured bacterium. RNAcentral's name for it is "partial 16S ribosomal RNA". It matches the Rfam family "Bacterial small subunit ribosomal RNA", at positions 338 to 795 of the family's 1533-position model. The record is from RNAcentral.